GGCUGGGCUGAAUGUAAGUUAUCUCAACUGAUUUUCACACCAUCAGUCACAGAUCAAGCUCCUUGUCCUUCUGCUUGUUUCCCCCUUCUCACUAUUGCACUUGACUAGUCUAAA
This 114-nucleotide Y RNA is filed under the name Saimiri boliviensis boliviensis (Bolivian squirrel monkey). RNAcentral's name for it is "Y RNA (ENSSBOG00000000501.1)". It matches the Rfam family "Y RNA". Rfam says of the family: Y RNAs are components of the Ro ribonucleoprotein particle (Ro RNP), in association with Ro60 and La proteins. The Y RNAs and Ro60 and La proteins are well conserved, but the function of the Ro RNP is not known. In humans the RNA component can be one of four small RNAs -- hY1, hY3, hY4 and hY5. Lineage: Eukaryota; Metazoa; Chordata; Mammalia; Primates; Cebidae. The record is from RNAcentral.